GACGAACGCUGGCGGCGUGCCUAAUACAUGCAAGUCGAACGGAAAGGCCCUGCUUUUGCUGGGCUCUCGUUUGGCGAACGGGUGAGUAACACGCGAGUAACACGCCCUUGUCUUUGGGAUAACUUUAGGAAACAGGGGCUAAUAUCGCAUAGGAGCUUCUGAACCAUGGUGGGCGUAGGAAAGUUUCGGCGUUUGUGGCUCGACUCGCGGCUUAUCAGCUUGUUGGUGAAGUAGUGGCUUACCAAGGCUUCGACGGCUAGGCGGCCUGAGAGGGUGACCGGCCACAAUGGGACUAAGAUACGGCGCAGAAUGCUACGGGAGGCAGAAGUGGGGAGUAUUACGGAGUGAGGGGGAGCCAGAUGCGGCGGCGUCGCGUGCGUAAUGACGUCCUACGAGUUGUGAACAGCUUUCUCCUGUGACGAAGAGUGCGUGACGGUAAUGAGUAAGAAAGCACCGGCUAACUACGUG
This 468-nucleotide ribosomal RNA is filed under the name uncultured bacterium. RNAcentral's name for it is "partial 16S ribosomal RNA". It matches the Rfam family "Bacterial small subunit ribosomal RNA", at positions 28 to 507 of the family's 1533-position model. The record is from RNAcentral.